UUCAGAUGCCCAUUAAAGUGGAGCUGACAGACACUAGCCAGGGUCUCAGUGUGUGGUCCAGGCUGGCCUUAAAUGCACAGCCUUCCUGCUUCUGUCUCCUGAGUUCAGGGAUUACAGAUGUGCUCCACGAUGGUGUGUACUCUGUGCCUCUUGAAUUCCUGAGGCUACACAGCUGACUGGUAGUUAGGGAAUUCCAAGCCGGAAAGGGAAGAAGAGAAGCACACAGGAAGGAGAGGGUGGGGAAGGAGGGAGUGGAGAGAGCUAGAGACAGACAAGCAGAAGACUGAGAAAGUUAAGAGCUGAGUGCUUCUGCUGCGAGCUGUUGCUACGUGGGAGAUGCCCUUCAGACUGGCUGGUUGAAACGCCCAUCAGUUUUGCCUCUUGUUAGGUAGUGACCCUGGCAAGUCAUUUCGUCUUAUGAGUUUCCACUUACUCUCCUGUAAGACUGAGAAUGGUUUCCUGAAGAACUUUUUGUCAAGGAUUGAAUGAGAAGAUAUAGAAAAUGAUCUCCUUACUACAGCAGUUUCGACUCCGCUCCGGGGGCCCAGCCCUCCACGUCUCGCUGCUCAUUUUACCACCCGUGCCAAGGACCUCAAUAAAGGGAAUUCGGAGCGCUCCUGGACCACGGGCAAACCCGCCCUUAUUUUCUGUCUGCACAGGUUCAAACUUCCUUCCCUGGCUGAGGAAUAGAAAUGAAAGGCCUGUCCAGGGAGAGAAGACGUUCCGCCAGAUAAAAGGAGUCUUUUCCACCUGAGAUUUCUAACAUAAAACUCUGCGCUUUUGUGAAAUGGUCUUAGUUUGAAGCCAAUCUGCCCCGGGGGCAGCUGCAGAAGCCUGAAGCUCACCUUCAUGCUGUGCAUUGCUUGUGUGGCUCUGAGAAACACAAGGAUGACUUCUUCAAGAUGAUGGCAAACCGUGAAGCUAAACCCAAGGGAGGAAGCCAGCCUCCUCCUUCAAGCCGUGGCACACCACAAAGGGCUGCUGUCCAUCCAAACGUGACCCCACCAGGUUCAUGGCAGCUGCUCAGCCCCUCUGACACUCUAAGUCCUUCAGUGAGCAAGGAGCCGAACCCACUACAACAAUCUCCUAACUGGCUCACAGCGUGUUGUAUCGGGUGAGUCUGUAGCCUCUCGAUUCUGUUUAUUUUGUACUGUUUCGAGACAGGGUCUCAUGUAACCCAGGCUAGCCUCAGAGUCACUAUGUAGCUC
Molecule: long non-coding RNA, 1208 nt
Organism: Peromyscus leucopus (white-footed mouse)
Lineage: Eukaryota; Metazoa; Chordata; Mammalia; Rodentia; Cricetidae
Exons: 3
Source: RefSeq, a predicted model, not a curated record